Molecule: unclassified non-coding RNA, 138 nt
Filed under: soil metagenome
Description: partial internal transcribed spacer 1
Source: RNAcentral
CCUAGAGUUGUAGGCUUUGCCUGCUAUCUCUUACCCAUGUCUUUUGAGUACCUUCGUUUCCUCGGCGGGUCCGCCCGCCGAUUGGACAAUUUAAACCAUUUGCAGUUGCAAUCAGCGUCUGCAAAAACUUAAUAGUUA